RNAcentral lists this ribosomal RNA (572 nucleotides) under uncultured Lachnospiraceae bacterium. Its description in RNAcentral is "bacterial SSU rRNA". It matches the Rfam family "Bacterial small subunit ribosomal RNA", at positions 145 to 733 of the family's 1533-position model. The record is from RNAcentral. Lineage: Bacteria; Bacillati; Bacillota; Clostridia; Lachnospirales; Lachnospiraceae.
AACAACCAGAAAUGGUUGCUAAUACCGCAUAAGCGCACAGGACCGCAUGGUCCGGUGUGAAAAACUCCGGUGGUAUAAGAUGGACCCGCGUUGGAUUAGCUAGUUGGCAGGGUAACAGGCCUACCAAGGCGACGAUCCAUAGCCGGCCUGAGAGGGUGAACGGCCACAUUGGGACUGAGACACGGCCCAGACUCCUACGGGAGGCAGCAGUGGGGAAUAUUGCACAAUGGGGGAAACCCUGAUGCAGCGACGCCGCCGUGAAGGAAGAAGUAUCUCGGUAUGUAAACUUCUAUCAGCAGGGAAGAUAGUGACGGUACCUGACUAAGAAGCCCCGGCUAACUACGUGCCAGCAGCCGCGGUAAUACGUAGGGGGCAAGCGUUAUCCGGAUUUACUGGGUGUAAAGGGAGCGUAGACGGACUGGCAAGUCUGAUGUGAAAGGCGGGGGCUCAACCCCUGGACUGCAUUGGAAACUGUUAGUCUUGAGUGCCGGAGAGGUAAGCGGAAUUCCUAGUGUAGCGGUGAAAUGCGUAGAUAUUAGGAGGAACACCAGUGGCGAAGGCGGCUUACUGGA